Molecule: long non-coding RNA, 1611 nt
Organism: Gallus gallus (chicken)
Lineage: Eukaryota; Metazoa; Chordata; Aves; Galliformes; Phasianidae
Source: Ensembl
AGUUAGUGAAAAGGAAAGGAACAAAUCAAGACUUGAGCCAUGGACAACCUCUUGAUAUUUUCUAUUCCUCUGAGCCUGGGAAUUUUGCCAAUCCCAUCUCUGGCCCGACUGGAAAGGAAGGAAAAAUAAUUGUUGAGCUGCUCACUGAGUUACCAGGUUCAUCUGCUCCUGCUCUCAGACCCUGGCUUGUGCAGCCAGAGAGCAUGUGGGAGUCUGCACAGGCAGGAGCUGUGCUGCAGCAGUUUGAGGUGAGGGAGACUUGAGUGAGAGCAGCAGAUCAGUGCCAGGAUUGUGCCUUAUAUGGCUGCUCGACGCCUGCAGUGCAUCUCUUGGUAUACAGCUUAUGGUAAAAGCCUUCAGGUUCUGUGUUCUUCCACAGCUGUAUAUCAACUGCUGUUUCUUGAGCUUUGCACACUGAGCUGUGCUGAGCGUGGGCCAAAAAGAAGUUGGUUGCUGGGAGUCACAGCUAUUGAACAGCCAGCCCUCAGACAUGCAAAAUGCUGCCAAAAUCCCUCCUGCGUCAGCGACUGCCUGAGGUGGCCAGUGCUAGCCAGGAGGCCUCCUCCAGUGGCUGGCUGCACGUCCCCAUGCAGGUGGCCAGUCUCUGCCAUUCCGGAGCAAGGAGGGCAGAGUGCUCACAAGAUGUGGUUCCCCAUGGAGAUAACAUGUUGCCAAGGUCAGGCUGCAUCUUAUAUCAGGCCCCUUGCAUCAGAUCACUUUGACUGAGAACAUGCUCCUGUUUGCAGGGAGAAAAUGUAAUCUGUAUCUGGACUGUGGUUAACGCUGAGCGCCAGGCUGUGAAUGCUGCCGGUGUACUGUUUGCUUUAAACACCACCUAUUUUUGUCUUCAGGGCUCCUUUUUUAACCUUUCCAGAAAAUGCUGCUGUUGGCCACUAUCCACUACUCUGCUUCUUUGGGGGCUCACCUAUAGUGAAUCACUCUCAGAGAAUGGCCCUGUGUUUAACUGCUGGACGCUGCUUUUCUGCAAGAAAGGAUUUGUAAGCUGCAAGUAUUUGCAGCUCUCCAAACCCACAAAAAUAAUGUUUGUCAGUGCUCUAGAGAUCAAUGUUUAAACCGGUCUAGUGCAAUCAGAAGGAUGUUUUGAUUUAUUAGUAAUGCAUUUUAAAAGCAAACAAAUUAGUUUAUAGAUACUUAUAUAAUUACACUCACACACACACACACAUAUAUAUACAUAUAUGAGAGACAAUUAGAGAUGUAAAUAUGUUAGGCAACUUUGGUAUAAUUAAGUUAUGUCUUUGAAAAAAUUCGUCAUACAGUUGUGAUUGCAUGAGGUUCUCAUUGAAGAUUACUAUAAGCAGACAUUUUUAUAAAUAAUAUUUGAGGCCUCAAAUAAAACUUCUUUGUUUCCUGCCUCAAGCAUCUGCCAAAAUAUUUUUGAUUCUUGGGAGACUUGAAAAGUGGAAAGUUUUCUCCAGCCCUUUGGUUGUACUGCUACCAGACUGUGCAGUUGGAUUUGUUGCUUCUUGGUUCUCAAUCAUAUCUGAACCAUGUGCUUCCUUCUCAUCCAUUCUUGAGCCCUGCUCGUGCCAUGAACAGUGGGUGUUCGUACAUUUUUGUUACUACUGUAAGUUCUGCUAUAAAUUGUCCCUU